RNAcentral lists this long non-coding RNA (291 nucleotides) under Phaseolus vulgaris (common bean). Its description in RNAcentral is "long non-coding RNA (PVUL_LNC004338)". Lineage: Eukaryota; Viridiplantae; Streptophyta; Magnoliopsida; Fabales; Fabaceae. The record is from RNAcentral.
UAAAUAUUAAUCAUAUAGGUAAACAUUUACCUAUACGAUUGGUUCCUAACCACAAUGACCCGAAUGUGAUUUGAGGGCUUCUCACUAUCACAUUCAAAAUACAAUUUGUCACCUUCUCCAAGAACAUGUAAUGCACAAAAAUCCCUCAAACCACUACCCAAUUCUACACAUCCCAUUAGUCAUUGAUCGAUUAAAACAUCGCAUGUUAACUCCUUUGAAGGACCAUGCAAAACAACAGUAUUGAACAUCCGUGAGCAAAGAAAUGUUCCAAAAGCAGGAGGAAGUUCCUAC